GAGAUUCAACCCUCCCAGUUCCCCCUGGAUGCUCCCUCAGGUGAAUCCAGGUGCCUCGGAGGCUCAUUUUAAGGGCAUUAAGGGGGUUCUUUACAAUUUGCUCCCCACCCUUGCUCUUCCUACGGACACAGAACAAACUUCCAGGAUCCUGGAACAGCUGAGGAUGGUAUCCAGCCCCCCUCAGCCCCUGGAGGACCCUGAUCCCUCAGAGGUCCCUCAACCCUCGGAGAUCUCGCAGCCCCUGGAGGACCCUGAUCCCUCG
Molecule: long non-coding RNA, 262 nt
Filed under: Manacus vitellinus (golden-collared manakin)
Lineage: Eukaryota; Metazoa; Chordata; Aves; Passeriformes; Pipridae
Description: lncRNA (ENSMVIG00005009869.1)
Source: RNAcentral